This 346-nucleotide RNase P RNA is filed under the name Coxiella-like endosymbiont. Its description in RNAcentral is "RNase P RNA component class A". It matches the Rfam family "Bacterial RNase P class A". From Rfam's summary of the family: Ribonuclease P (RNase P) is a ubiquitous endoribonuclease, found in archaea, bacteria and eukarya as well as chloroplasts and mitochondria. Its best characterised activity is the generation of mature 5'-ends of tRNAs by cleaving the 5'-leader elements of precursor-tRNAs. Lineage: Bacteria; Pseudomonadati; Pseudomonadota; Gammaproteobacteria; Legionellales; Coxiellaceae. The record is from RNAcentral.
UAGGCCAGCUAAACAGUCGCUCAGCGUAGCUGGGAGGAAAGUCCGGGCUCCAUGGGGCAGAGUGCCAGGUAACACCUGGGGGCGAAAGCCUACGGAAAGUGCAACAGAAAGUAUACCGCUGUCGAAUUUCUCGAUAGUAAGGUUGAAAUGGUGCGGUAAGAGCGCACCGCGUUAGGUGGUAACAACAACGGCGAUGGUAAACCCCACUCGGAGCAAGGCCAAAUAGGAAUCCUUUAACGUGCAGCUCACACGUGGAUUUGGGUAGGCUGCUUGAGGUGUGUGGUGACACACAUCCUAGAUAGAUGACUGUUCACGACAGAACCCGGCUUAUCAGCUGGCCAAUUUA